RNAcentral lists this transfer RNA (85 nucleotides) under Felis catus (domestic cat). It matches the Rfam family "tRNA". Rfam says of the family: Transfer RNA (tRNA) molecules are approximately 80 nucleotides in length. Their secondary structure includes four short double-helical elements and three loops (D, anti-codon, and T loops). RNAcentral also lists the same sequence under 2 other names. Lineage: Eukaryota; Metazoa; Chordata; Mammalia; Carnivora; Felidae. The record is from Rfam by way of RNAcentral.
GCCUGGGUGGCUCAGUUGGUUAAGCGUCCGACUUCAGCUCAGGUCGUGAUCUCACGGUUUGUGGGUUCAAGCCCCACGUCAGGCU